Molecule: ribosomal RNA, 449 nt
Filed under: uncultured bacterium
Lineage: Bacteria
Description: partial 16S ribosomal RNA
Rfam family: Bacterial small subunit ribosomal RNA
Source: RNAcentral
AACGAACGCUGGCGGCACGCCUAACACGUGCAAGUCGAACGAGAUCUUCGGGUCUAGUGGCGCACGGGUGCGUAACGCGUGGGAAUCUGCCCUUUGGUUCGGAAUAACAGUUGGAAACGACUGCUAAUACCGGAUGAUGACGAAAGUCCAAAGAUUUAUCGCCAGAGGAUGAGCCCGCGUAGGAUUAGCUAGUUGGUGUGGUAAAGGCGCACCAAGGCGACGAUCCUUAGCUGGUCUGAGAGGAUGAUCAGCCACACUGGGACUGAGACACGGCCCAGACUCCUACGGGAGGCAGCAGUGGGGAAUAUUGGACAAUGGGCGAAAGCCUGAUCCAGCAAUGCCGCGUGAGUGAUGAAGGCCUUAGGGUUGUAAAGCUCUUUUACCCGGGAUGAUAAUGACAGUACCGGGAGAAUAAGCUCCGGCUAACUCCGUGCCAGCCGCCGCAGUAA